AUUGCUUUGCCCCCUUCUUCGAGCAUUACGGCUUUGCCGGGUUUCAUCCUUUGAAAUGAACCGCUCGACCAACACUAAACUCAAACAGGGCAAAU
RNAcentral lists this non-coding RNA (95 nucleotides) under Legionella massiliensis. RNAcentral describes it as "Legionella sp. LegA RAGATH-13 RNA". It matches the Rfam family "RAGATH-13 RNA". The record is from Rfam by way of RNAcentral. Lineage: Bacteria; Pseudomonadati; Pseudomonadota; Gammaproteobacteria; Legionellales; Legionellaceae.